This 478-nucleotide ribosomal RNA is filed under the name uncultured bacterium. RNAcentral describes it as "bacterial SSU rRNA". It matches the Rfam family "Bacterial small subunit ribosomal RNA", at positions 28 to 526 of the family's 1533-position model. The record is from RNAcentral.
GACGAACGCUGGCGGCGUGCUUAACACAUGCAAGUGGAGCGACGAACCAGAGCUUGCUCUGGGGCAGAGCCGCGAACGGGUGAGUAACACGUGGGUCACCUACCUCGAUGACCGGGACAACCCGAGGAAACUCGGGCUAAUACCGGAUGUGCACUUUGGUGGAAAGGUAGCUUCGGCUUCCGCAUCGAGAUGGGCCCGCGGCGCAUUAGCUUGUUGGUGGGGUAACGGCCUACCAAGGCGACGAUGCGUAGCUGGUCUGAGAGGACGAUCAGCCACACUGGGACUGAGACACGGCCCAGACUCCUACGGGAGGCAGCAGUGGGGAAUCUUGCGCAAUGCGCGAAAGCGUGACGCAGCAACGCCGCGUGGGGGAAGAAGGCCUUCGGGUUGUAAACCUCUUUCAGUAGGAACGAAGCGCAAGUGACGGUACCUACAGAAGAAGCACCGGCCAACUACGUGCCAGCAGCCGCGGUAACAC